RNAcentral lists this ribosomal RNA (723 nucleotides) under Exeiratus sp. WEV-066. RNAcentral's name for it is "partial 28S ribosomal RNA". It matches the Rfam family "Eukaryotic large subunit ribosomal RNA", at positions 328 to 806 of the family's 3401-position model. The record is from RNAcentral. Lineage: Eukaryota; Metazoa; Arthropoda; Insecta; Coleoptera; Curculionidae.
ACGAGACCGAUAGCGAACAAGUACCGUGAGGGAAAGUUGAAAAGCACUUUGAAGAGAGAGUUCAAGAGUACGUGAAACCGUUUAGGGGUAAACCUGAGAAACCCGAAAGGUCGAAGGGAGAAAUUCAUUCGUGUUUCGCGACAGGCGUUGGACGGUCGAGUGACGGAUAGAUCGUUCGCGAACUAUCCGCACCUUUCGUUUUUCGAUCCGGACGCGAACGCGUGCACUUUUCUCCUGGUAGGACGUCGCGAUCCGUUGGGUGUCGGUCUACGGCACGCGGUGGAGCCCGUCCGUCGUUUUAACGAACGUACGGAUGGACCCGCGUGGCCCGGCCGACCCGCUCGACGGUAUACGAAAGGUUAGAGGCCGCUCGAUUAUGAAGCGUUCGACUCGUGGCAAGCGCGCCAGAUGUGUCGGCGAUCGGACCCGGUGCCGAUUCUGACCUCUGGUGACUGUUGGCUACGAAGUUCUCGAACAGACCUCGUUGACCGAUCUGCGACGCUAUAGCUUUGGGUACUUUCAGGACCCGUCUUGAAACACGGACCAAGGAGUCUAGCAUGUGCGCGAGUCAUUGGGAAUCACUAAACCUAAAGGCGUAAUGAAAGUAAAGGUCUUCCUCGCGAGGACUGAGGGAAGACGGGCGGUUUACCCUUAAAAGUGGCCGCCCCGCACUCCCGGGGCGUCUCGUUCUCAUUGCGAGAAGAGGCGCACCAUGAGCGUACA